Hyla sarda is the source of this 256-nucleotide long non-coding RNA. RefSeq lists it as uncharacterized. The record is from RefSeq and is a predicted model, not a curated record. The transcript has 3 exons. Lineage: Eukaryota; Metazoa; Chordata; Amphibia; Anura; Hylidae.
UCCGCAAUGAAGAUUUCCAGCAUUCCGGAUGCCAUGUAACCUAUAGGAUCGUCGCCCAUGUCCUUCACCCGAACUUCAAGUUUAAAGUGGCUCUCCUCAACAUGAGAUAGGCACUGCUUAGGAGAAGACUUCGAGGGCUGGUCCAGUCAUGUGUAAAUGUUGCAUUGCGGCAGGAUUCAUUGUAGAAACUAUUCCAUGUCACUGUAUCCCAUUCUCGGCUUUACCUUCUUCUGUUAAGGACAAUGCUCCGGACCUG